This is a long non-coding RNA of Propithecus coquereli (Coquerel's sifaka), 362 nucleotides long. RefSeq lists it as uncharacterized. The record is from RefSeq and is a predicted model, not a curated record. The transcript is spliced from 3 exons. NCBI's taxonomy places the organism in Eukaryota, Metazoa, Chordata, Mammalia, Primates, Indriidae.
UUCUGAGUCCAGUAUUAGCAACCGGCUUGUCACAUUGGAGUCCUGGGCUGAUGAUCCUGAUUAUCUGAAACGUCAAGUUGGUUUCUGUGCCCAGUGGAGCUUAGACAAUCUCUUUUUAAAAGAAGGUAGACAGCUGACCUAUGAGAAAGUGGACUUGAGUAGUAUUACGGCCAUGCUGAAUAGCAACGAUGUCAGCGAGUACCUAAAGAUCUCACCUCAUGGCUUGGAGGCUCGCUGUGACGCCUCCUCUUUUGAAAGCGUGCGUUGCACCUUUUGUGUGGAUGCAGGGGUGUGGUACUAUGAAGUAACAGUGGUCACGUCUGGUGUCAUGCAGAUUGGCUGGGCCACUCGAGACAGCAAAU